Molecule: RNA transcript, 1131 nt
Organism: Neogale vison (American mink)
Lineage: Eukaryota; Metazoa; Chordata; Mammalia; Carnivora; Mustelidae
Gene name: putative exonuclease GOR
Exons: 9
Source: RefSeq, a predicted model, not a curated record
AUGAGCAUAAUCGCCCCUGCAGGAAUACACAGUAAUUUAUUUGGCCCUGUUUAUUUCAGCUUCAUGUUCAUGACUGGGAAGAAAACCUAGAGGGCUUCAUGAAGACUUCCAUCAAGUGCCCACCUGCCAACAGUAAUCCUGGUGUAUUUGCUGUGAAUUGUGAGGUGUGCUGUACAGCCAAAGGUUUGGAACUUACUCAAGUGACCGUGGUUGAUCCCAGCCUCCAGGUGGUCUAUGACACAUUUGUGAAACCAGAUGAAGAAGUCAUUGGCUAUAACACCAGGUUUUCUGGUGUCGAAGAGGACCUGAGGAACACAAGAAUAUCGAUCCGGAUGUCCAAGCCACCCUGUUGAACCUGUUCAGUGCUGAUACUGUACUAAUUGGACAUAGCUUUUAAGCUAAUUCCUACUUCAGUUGUGGACACGACAAUUCUGUUUCCUUGUGGCGAGGCUUGUCUAGUGGCUGACCACCUGCAGAGAAUCAUUCAGGACUAUGGCAGUGUCCUAGGGAUCUUCGGAACACACUAACCUGUGUUCAGUGCCGGACCUGUCUCAUUCCUUUGAGGGGCUAGCUCCAUCUUUCUUGCUUUCUCAUCAUGGGGGCUGUCAGGAGGAUCUCCACAACAUGUGGUAAAAAGCCCAAGGAGCUAGUGCAGAUACCUGGACCCGUCAAGGGCUCUUCGCGCGUUUCCAGCUGCUGACUCUGCUGGCAGCCUUGCGUGUGCGCUCUCCCCUGGAGAAUGCCGUUGGGAACAAAGGGCCCUGCUAUUGUCUCUGAACACACGAGUCCUGCCAGCUGGAGUCCCCACCCACCGCACUACGGGCAUCUCACCGAGACAGCUGGAGGGCAGGAACUUGACAUCAGGCAUGACCUAGGAGAAACACUCCCAGACAAAAAACAGGGAGUAGCAGAGUCAAAGCUUGAGAAGUCUUGCCCUUACAAACAAAAAAAACCGUGUAAUCUGAUUUAACCUGGAACUUGCCCCACGCUAUUAACUGGCCUUCGGAAAGGACUUCUCAUGGCUGUGGAGCGUGCCAUCUUCAAGCAAACGUGCAAUAGUCCUGGGACAUCUCUGCGCCCACAGACACAACAAGCUCUAGUGUCCGUCAGCCACCAGGUCAUAAGUAUUAG